AUACGCAGGGUGCAAGCGUUAAUCGGAAUUACUGGGCGUAAAGCGUGCGCAGGCGGUUUUGUAAGACAGAGGUGAAAUCCCCGGGCUCAACCUGGGGACUGCCUUUGUGACUGCAAGGCUAGAGUACGGCAGAGGGGGGUGGAAUUCCGGGUGUAGCCGUGAAAUGCGUAGAUAUGCGGAGGAACACCGAUGGCGAAGGCAAUCCCCUGGGCCUGUACUGACGCUCAUGCACGAAAGCGUGGGGAGCAAACAGGAUUAGAUACCCUGGUAGUCCACGCCCUAAACGAUGUCAACUGGUUGUUGGGUCUUCAUUGACUCAGUAACGAAGCUAACGCGUGAAGUUGACCGCCUGGGGAGUACGGCCGCAAGGUUGAAACUCAAAUGAAUUGACGGGG
Molecule: ribosomal RNA, 395 nt
Filed under: uncultured bacterium
Lineage: Bacteria
Description: partial 16S ribosomal RNA
Rfam family: Bacterial small subunit ribosomal RNA
Source: RNAcentral